RNAcentral lists this ribosomal RNA (453 nucleotides) under uncultured bacterium. RNAcentral describes it as "bacterial SSU rRNA". It matches the Rfam family "Bacterial small subunit ribosomal RNA", at positions 162 to 649 of the family's 1533-position model. The record is from RNAcentral.
GCUAAUACCGUAUACGUCCUUCGGGAGAAAGAUUUAUCGGAGUUGGAUGAGCCCGCGUCGGAUUAGUUAGUUGGUGGGGUAAUGGCUCACCAAGGCUACGAUCCGUAGCUGGUCUUAGAGGAUGAUCAGCCACACUGGGACUGAGACACGGCCCAGACUCCUACGGGAGGCAGCAGUGGGGAAUAUUGGACAAUGGGCGAAAGCCUGAUCCAGCCAUGCCGCGNGAGUGAUGAAGGCCCUAGGGUUGUAAAGCUCUUUCAGCGGGGAAGAUAAUGACGGUACCCGCAGAAGAAGCCCCGGCUAACUUCGUGCCAGCAGCCGCGGUAAUACGAAGGGGGCUAGCGUUGUUCGGAAUUACUGGGCGUAAAGCGCGCGUAGGCGGAUCGUUAAGUCAGGGGUGAAAUCCCGGGGCUCAACCCCGGAACUGCCUUUGAUACUGACGAUCUUGAGUUC